UGGGGAAUAUUGCGCAAUGGGGGGAACCCUGACGCAGCCAUGCCGCGUGAAUGAAGAAGGCCUUAGGGUUGUAAAGUUCUUUCGGUAUUGAGGAAGGUUGAUGUGUUAAUAGCACAUCAAAUUGACGUUAAAUACAGAAGAAGCACCGGCUAACUCCGUGCCAGCAGCCGCGGUAAUACGGAGGGUGCGAGCGUUAAUCGGAAUAACUGGGCGUAAAGGGCACGCAGGCGGUUAUUUAAGUGAGGUGUGAAAGCCCCGGGCUUAACCUGGGAAUUGCAUUUCAGACUGGGUAACUAGAGUACUUUAGGGAGGGGUAGAAUUCCACGUGUAGCGGUGAAAUGCGUAGAGAUGUGGAGGAAUACCGAAGGCGAAGGCAGCCCCUUGGGAAUGUACUGACGCUCAUGUGCGAAAGCGUGGGGAGCAAAUAGGAUUAGAUACCCUGGUAGUCCACGCUGUAAACGCUGUCGAUUUGGGGGUUGGGGUUUAACUCUGGCGCCCGUAGCUAACGUGAUAAAUCGACCGCCUGGGGAGUACGGCCGCAAGGUUA
This 547-nucleotide ribosomal RNA is filed under the name uncultured bacterium. Its description in RNAcentral is "bacterial SSU rRNA". It matches the Rfam family "Bacterial small subunit ribosomal RNA", at positions 355 to 896 of the family's 1533-position model. The record is from RNAcentral.